UACGUAGGGGGCAAGCGUUGUCCGGAAUUAUUGGGCGUAAAGAGCUCGUAGGCGGUCUGUCACGUCGGCUGUGAAAACCCGAGGCUCAACCUCGGGCCUGCAGUCGAUACGGGCAAACUAGAGUGUUGCAGGGGAGACUGGAAUUCCUGGUGUAGCGGUGAAAUGCGCAGAUAUCAGGAGGAACACCGGUGGCGAAGGCGGGUCUCUGGGCAACAACUGACGCUGAGGAGCGAAAGCGUGGGGAGCGAACAGG
This 253-nucleotide ribosomal RNA is filed under the name uncultured bacterium. RNAcentral describes it as "partial 16S ribosomal RNA". It matches the Rfam family "Bacterial small subunit ribosomal RNA", at positions 524 to 776 of the family's 1533-position model. The record is from RNAcentral.